GAGGUAAACAAUCGAUCCGCAGGCGGUUUAGCCAAAGAUCGUGUAGCGCCGCUAGCUGGCCUAGCUAGGUAGAAGUUGAUUUUGUCGUAAAAUUACACUUUAUUUCGGCGCAACGUCAAGAUAUGGUGUGUCAAAUAUAUGAAAGGACCUUCGGUAUCAACCUGGUUGAGAGUGACAUGUUGGUAGCAGGCAGAUCAACAUGAGUGACAUGUUUAAAGAAGCAAUGGUGUUCAGCUUCAAGAUGAGUAUUGCAGUAUAAAAACUGAGAAAGUGGAUAACAACACAGAAUACCAGUUGCUGGCUGUUUGCUACAGUAAACUUAUCUGCAUGUCUCCUGACCAUGUGUGCAACCACAAUGAUGUAAUCAGCAUGAAUAUUCAUUAGAAUAUACUUCAAACUGCAAAAAUCAGAAAACUGCUGGAAUGACACCACAGCAAGACCAACUUCUGGAGAGCAUAUAUAUCUUUUAGCGGGGCCAAGGGUGGUGGGUGGCGCGUAGGUUUCAACGCAGGCGAUCGCCUAACAUAGGCGAUUGCUCCCGUUUGGAUCCUCCCAACUGUCUUAAUGCGGGAAAUGCUGACGAAAUUUUCAAAAAAAGUUUCGUGAAGAUUUAUGUCAUUGUACAGUAUGUGUCUUUGGAAAUACAGUACGCUACAAUAGUACAAAUGAGUUGUAGUACAAAGAA
Anneissia japonica is the source of this 685-nucleotide long non-coding RNA. RefSeq lists it as uncharacterized. NCBI's taxonomy places the organism in Eukaryota, Metazoa, Echinodermata, Crinoidea, Comatulida, Comatulidae. The record is from RefSeq and is a predicted model, not a curated record. The transcript is spliced from 3 exons.